UUUUCAGUUUAGCAUGACCAAAUUAAAUUCAUUAUAGGGUUCUUAAGGAACUAGCUGAAGCAAUCUCAAAACCAUUAGCAAUGAUCUUUGAGAACUCCUGGAGAAUGGGUGAGGUCCCAGAGGACUGGAGAAGGACAAACAUA
Dermochelys coriacea (leatherback sea turtle) is the source of this 143-nucleotide long non-coding RNA. RefSeq lists it as uncharacterized. The transcript has 3 exons. The record is from RefSeq and is a predicted model, not a curated record. NCBI's taxonomy places the organism in Eukaryota, Metazoa, Chordata, Testudines, Dermochelyidae.